UACAGAGACUGCAAGCGUUAUUCGGAUUCACUGGGCGUAAAGGGUGCGCAGGCGGCCGUGUGUGUGAGGCGUGAAAGCCCGGGGCUCAACCCCGGAAUUGCACCUCAAACUAUAUGGCUAGAGCAUUGGAGAGGGUAGCGGAAUUCACGGUGUAGCAGUGAAAUGCGUAGAUAUCGUGAGGAACACCAGAGGCGAAGGCGGCUACCUGGACAAUUGCUGACGCUCAGGCACGAAAGCGUGGGGAGCAAAAGGG
Molecule: ribosomal RNA, 253 nt
Filed under: uncultured bacterium
Lineage: Bacteria
Description: partial 16S ribosomal RNA
Rfam family: Bacterial small subunit ribosomal RNA
Source: RNAcentral